GCCAGGCAGGGUGGCGCGUGCCUGUAGUCCCAGCUACUCGGGAGGCUGAGGUGGGAGGAUCGCUUGAGCCCAGGAGUUCUGGGCUGUAGUGCGCUCUGCUGAUCGGGUGUCUGUAUUAAAUUCAGCAUCAAUAUGAUAACCUCCCGGGAGCGGGGUUCCACCAGGUUGCCUAAGGAGGGGUGAACCGGCCCAGGUCAGAAACGGAGCAGGUCAAAACUCCUGUGCUCAUCAGUAGUGGGAUCGCACCUGUGAAUAGCCACUGCACUCCAGCCUGGGCAACAUAGCGAGACCCCAUCUCU
RNAcentral lists this signal recognition particle RNA (299 nucleotides) under Saimiri boliviensis boliviensis (Bolivian squirrel monkey). Its description in RNAcentral is "Metazoan signal recognition particle RNA (ENSSBOG00000009859.1)". It matches the Rfam family "Metazoan signal recognition particle RNA". From Rfam's summary of the family: The signal recognition particle (SRP) is a universally conserved ribonucleoprotein. It is involved in the co-translational targeting of proteins to membranes. Lineage: Eukaryota; Metazoa; Chordata; Mammalia; Primates; Cebidae. The record is from RNAcentral.